ACUUGCCCCUGUGUCCGAGUACCCCAUAAAAGGCGGCCAGCGAAGGCGAGAAUUCAGUUCGUCGGCAGCUGCGGAACGGCAAGGAUCACCACCUCUCUCUCCAGUGACCAGCACUUCAGCAAGUUGGACCGUCGUCGAAGUGUUGAAAGAGUAGGAGUUGGAGCAAAGCCAAAGAAGUUGCUCCUCCCUGCGCCUGUUCUCAUUACUGAUUCAUCUGAAGAUGAUGAUGAGAAUGGUGAUGAAUCUGAACCAGACCCCCAGGAUGUACCCCCUGCACCUGUAGUACAGCAGCCUCCAACAAUAGAGCAGCAACAAGCUGACACAGCUACACAAGUGGUCAGUAUACGGAUUAGCUAAGUCUUGUCAAUGUUCUAGUUAGCAUAUGUUGAUUAUGAAGACCUCUAUGUUGUGAUUUAAGGCCCUGUAAAUGG
Branchiostoma belcheri (Belcher's lancelet) is the source of this 431-nucleotide long non-coding RNA. RefSeq lists it as uncharacterized. The record is from RefSeq and is a predicted model, not a curated record. The transcript is spliced from 3 exons. NCBI's taxonomy places the organism in Eukaryota, Metazoa, Chordata, Leptocardii, Amphioxiformes, Branchiostomatidae.